AUCCUGGCUUAGGAUGAACGCUGGCGGCGUGCCUAAUACAUGCAAGUCGAGCGAGAAUCAGUGAUGCAGAGAUUCGUCAAAGCGGAUCUGAGGAAAGCGGCGGACGGGUGAGUAACGCGUAGGCAACCUGCCCUUAGCAGAGGGAUAGCCAUUGGAAACGAUGAUUAAACCUCAUAAUGCUGUUUUAACACAUGUUAUGACAGCCAAAGAUUUAUCGGCUAAGGAUGGGCCUGCGUCUGAUUAACUAGUUGGUGAGGUAACGGCUCACCAAGGUGACGAUCAGUAGCCGACCUGAGAGGGUGAUCGGCCACAUUGGAACUGAGACACGGUCCAAACUUCUACGGAAGGCAGCAGUAAGGAAUCUUGCACAAUGGGGGAAACCCUGAUGCCAGCAACGCCGCGUGAACGAUGAAGGCCUUAGGGUUGUAAAGUUCUGAUCUGUGGGAAGAAGAAGUGACGGUACCACAGGAGAAAGCCCCGGCUAAAUACGUGCCAGCAGCAGC
This 503-nucleotide ribosomal RNA is filed under the name uncultured bacterium. RNAcentral's name for it is "bacterial SSU rRNA". It matches the Rfam family "Bacterial small subunit ribosomal RNA", at positions 16 to 518 of the family's 1533-position model. The record is from RNAcentral.